This 597-nucleotide ribosomal RNA is filed under the name uncultured Shewanella sp. RNAcentral's name for it is "bacterial SSU rRNA". It matches the Rfam family "Bacterial small subunit ribosomal RNA", at positions 371 to 960 of the family's 1533-position model. Lineage: Bacteria; Pseudomonadati; Pseudomonadota; Gammaproteobacteria; Alteromonadales; Shewanellaceae. The record is from RNAcentral.
AUGGGGGAAACCCUGAUGCAGCCAUGCCGCGUGUGUGAAGAAGGCCUUCGGGUUGUAAAGCACUUUCAGUAGGGAGGAAAGGGUGAGUCUUAAUACGGCUCAUCUGUGACGUUACCUACAGAAGAAGGACCGGCUAACUCCGUGCCAGCAGCCGCGGUAAUACGGAGGGUCCGAGCGUUAAUCGGAAUUACUGGGCGUAAAGCGUGCGCAGGCGGUUUGUUAAGCGAGAUGUGAAAGCCCUGGGCUCAACCUAGGAAUAGCAUUUCGAACUGGCGAACUAGAGUCUUGUAGAGGGGGGUAGAAUUCCAGGUGUAGCGGUGAAAUGCGUAGAGAUCUGGAGGAAUACCGGUGGCGAAGGCGGCCCCCUGGACAAAGACUGACGCUCAUGCACGAAAGCGUGGGGAGCAAACAGGAUUAGAUACCCUGGUAGUCCACGCCGUAAACGAUGUCGAUUUGGAGGCUGUGUCCUUGAGACGUGGCUUCCGGAGCUAACGCGUUAAAUCGACCGCCUGGGGAGUACGGCCGCAAGGUUAAAACUCAAAUGAAUUGACGGGGGCCCGCACAAGCGGUGGAGCAUGUGGUUUAAUUCGAUGCAAC